RNAcentral lists this long non-coding RNA (341 nucleotides) under Macaca mulatta (Rhesus monkey). RNAcentral describes it as "lncRNA (ENSMMUG00000052396.1)". The record is from RNAcentral. Lineage: Eukaryota; Metazoa; Chordata; Mammalia; Primates; Cercopithecidae.
AGAUUCAUUUAGGAAAUAGAACCCACAAAACUCGGUGGCCAGUUGGAGAGGAAGGAAGGCCAAUUGGAAGGAGAGGGAAGGAGGAAUCUUGGGAGACUUCCAGGUUUUCUGGCCCAAGGAAUUGGGUCACCUAGGGGUCACUGACCUACAGGAAUUCCUUCUCUUAGCAAGGUGAGUGCAGUGCCGGAUCCAGUUAGUUGCGUCCCACCCCCCGACCCCCCACCGCUGGCAGCGGCCCAAUUUUGUUCAGGUCAAGUGGAGUUGACUUUCAUUGCUUCUUGGCUUCCACCCCUAAUUCUUCAGAAGUUAUAGGGAUGUAAUUCCAAGGGAAAAAUCAAGCU